AAAGUCGUAACAAGGUUUCCGUAGGUGAACCUGCGGAAGGAUCAUUAUCGUGGGGCUUCGGCCCCGUCGAGAAAGCACCCUUGCCCUUUUGAGUACCUUGGAAUAGACCCUCCCCCGGUUCGCCGGUGCGUGGGGUGACCGAGCCCAUUUUCCUCGGCCGGGUCUCCGGCCAAUGGGGAGCCACAUAAACACCCUGCCAUCGCUGUAAUCGUCUGAUAAAACAAACAAAAAUCAAAACUUUCAACAACGGAUCUCUUGGUUCUG
RNAcentral lists this unclassified non-coding RNA (264 nucleotides) under Ascomycota sp. RNAcentral's name for it is "partial contains small subunit ribosomal RNA, internal transcribed spacer 1, and 5.8S ribosomal RNA". The stretch from base 1 to 47 matches the Rfam family "Eukaryotic small subunit ribosomal RNA", at positions 1785 to 1831 of the family's 1831-position model. The record is from RNAcentral. Lineage: Eukaryota; Fungi; Ascomycota.